ACUCGGGCCCGAGGCGGGGGGAUGCCUUCCAACGGGCAGGAGAGUAAGGUGGCCACAGUCACCCUGAAGGUUUGGUGACGGGUUCUUAAAACCGGGUACUUCCUUCCUGAUGACCAAGCCCUCUUCUAUUUUCCGAAGGCUACGGGGUUUUUGGAAGCGGGGUUAGGGGGAACGGUCUCUCGGCAAACCUCAAACAUGCACGAAGCAAGUCCACUGGCGCUCCGUGACUUUGCUGAGGCUUUUCGGGGGGGAGGGAGGGCCUGGGGUUGCAAGCCCAGCAUUGGCAGAGCAAAUAACUGAGUGUUUACCAAGCAGCGUUCUGUGGUUUGGGGCUUGUAUAAAUAAAAGAUAGACCGAUGAGAAAGUCCAAACGGAAAGACCAGCUUGGAAUGCCUCCCUUGGCGGGGGUGGGGGCGGGCCGUGGCCGACAUUUUUCCAUCCCAGAAGGAAAAAGAUAGCACUGUGUUUCCAGCACCUCUGAGGCAUGAGUCGCGGAGAAACGCUACACGCAGCGUGGGCCUCGUGCCGACAGAUUUUAUGGUGAUUUCCUGCAGCAGCCACAGGAUGCUGCGACAAAUGGAAAGGAAAGGGUCGCGCGGGGCUCAGGCAGGAUCCUUGCCCGGGUCUGCUUACUCUGGGUCUGGAGACGUCUUCGCGUAGACACUUGGUUGGGUGCGCGCCCGCGGGCAAACCACAACGCUGGGAAUCCCUCUCCUGCCGAGAUCUGUUGCUUCCGGAAAGAUCGUGCCUCCGGGUGUGAGAAACAACCAGUACAGAUCAUUUCAGCGAUUUGCCCCCAAGGUUUCCGAACUGAGAAGAAGGAUGGACGCCGACAAUGGAGCAGAGGCUGGGGCAAGGCGGCGCCUGUCCCUCUGGCCUCUCGCUGCACGCCUCGGUCGGAGAAGGGCGGUGUGGCCUGGGGGGUAGGGCCAUCCCAGGCGAGGCCCCGCCGUGCCACAGCGACACCACCACACGGGGCCUGCCGGUCCACCCGGCAACCGAGGGAUUUGGCCACAGCCUCCCGCCCUUCCUUCCAGAGCUGAGACCCAGAGAUGCACAGUAAUUUGAAAUGCUCCUUCUCUCAGUGUUUAUAGAGUAGCAAUACAAUGGCCUUUGGAUCCUUCAAUUGAUCCUCUUGG
Molecule: long non-coding RNA, 1139 nt
Organism: Felis catus (domestic cat)
Lineage: Eukaryota; Metazoa; Chordata; Mammalia; Carnivora; Felidae
Exons: 2
Source: RefSeq, a predicted model, not a curated record